Molecule: ribosomal RNA, 216 nt
Filed under: Glomeromycotina sp.
Lineage: Eukaryota; Fungi; Glomeromycota
Description: partial small subunit ribosomal RNA
Rfam family: Eukaryotic small subunit ribosomal RNA (bases 40-216)
Source: RNAcentral
GGGUCACUAGGCGGGUCGUGCCACCGGUACGUACUGGUCUCACUGAUUCCUCCUUCCUGAAGAACCGUAAUGCCAUUAAUUUGGUGUUGCGGGGAAACAGGACUGUUACUUUGAAAAAAUUAGAGUGUUUAAAGCAGGCUAACGCUUGAAUACAUUAGCAUGGAAUAAUGAAAUAGGACGAUCGAUCCUAUUUUGUUGGUUUCUAGGAUUGACGUA